UAGUAGCCUGCGAAAGCUGCGGGGAGCUGGCAAACGAGCUUUGAUCCGCAGAUAUCCGAAUGGGGAAACCCGGCCCGAAUGGGUCAUCCCUUGCUGAAUACAUAGGCAAGGGAAGCGAACGCAGUGAACUGAAACAUCUAAGUAGCUGCAGGAACAGAAAUCAACCGAGAUUCCCAAAGUAGUGGCGAGCGAAAUGGGAUCAGCCUUGUACUCUUUAGCAGUAUUGUUAGCAAAGCGGAAUGGAAAGUCCGGCCAUAGUGGGUGAUAGCCCCGUAUGCGAAAACAGUAUUGUGGAACUAGGUGUACGACAAGUAGGGCGGGACACGUGAAAUCCUGUCUGAAGAUGGGGGGACCAUCCUCCAAGGCUAAAUACUCGUAAUCGACCGAUAGUGAACCAGUACCGUGAGGGAAAGGCGAAAAGAACCCCGGGAGGGGAGUGAAAUAGAUCCUGAAACCGCAUGCAUACAAACAGUCGGAGCCUGGAAACGGGUGACGGCGUACCUUUUGUAUAAUGGGUCAGCGACUUACAUUCAGUGGCAAGCUUAACCGAUUAGGGAAGGCGUAGCGAAAGCGAGUCCGAAUAGGGCGUUCAGUCGCUGGGUGUAGACCCGAAACCAAGUGAUCUAUCCAUGGCCAGGUUGAAGGUGCGGUAACACGUACUGGAGGACCGAACCCACUAACGUUGAAAAGUUAGGGGAUGAGCUGUGGAUAGGGGUGAAAGGCUAAACAAACUUGGAAAUAGCUGGUUCUCUCCGAAAACUAUUUAGGUAGUGCCUCGUGUCUCACCUUCGGGGGUAGAGCACUGUCAUGGUUGGGGGGUCUAUUGCUGAUUACCCCGCCAUAGCAAACUCCGAAUACCGAAGAGUGCAAUCACGGGAGACAGACAUCGGGUGCUAACGUCCGGUGUCAAGAGGGAAACAACCCAGACCGCCAGCUAAGGUCCCUAAAUAUUGCUAAGUGGGAAACGAAGUGGGAAGGCUAAAACAGUCAGGAGGUUGGCUUAGAAGCAGCCACCCUUUAAAGAAAGCGUAAUAGCUCACUGAUCGAGUCGUCCUGCGCGGAAGAUGUAACGGGGCUAAGCAAUAUACCGAAGCUGCGGAUGCACGUAAGUGCAUGGUAGGAGAGCGUUCUGUAAGCCUGUGAAGGUGUCUUGUAAAGGAUGCUGGAGGUAUCAGAAGUGCGAAUGCUGACAUGAGUAGCGAUAAAGGGGGUGAAAGGCCCCCUCGCCGUAAGCCCAAGGUUUCCUACGCAACGUUCAUCGGCGUAGGGUGAGUCGGCCCCUAAGGCGAGGCAGAGAUGCGUAGCUGAUGGGAAGCAGGUUAAUAUUCCUGCACCGUCGUAUGAUGCGAUGGGGGGACGGAUCGCGGAAGGUUGUCCGGGUGUUGGAUGUCCCGGUCCCUGCAUUGGAGAUGGCACUUAGGCAAAUCCGGGUGCGUGAUUCAAGGGUGUGGGGCGAGCGACUUUAGGUCGCGAAGCAAUUGGAAG
RNAcentral lists this ribosomal RNA (1485 nucleotides) under Ralstonia pickettii. RNAcentral's name for it is "bacterial LSU rRNA". It matches the Rfam family "Bacterial large subunit ribosomal RNA", at positions 59 to 1600 of the family's 2925-position model. Lineage: Bacteria; Pseudomonadati; Pseudomonadota; Betaproteobacteria; Burkholderiales; Burkholderiaceae. The record is from RNAcentral.